UACAGAGGGUGCGAGCGUUGUUCGGAAUUAUUGGGCGUAAAGGGCGCGUAGGCGGUGCGGUAAGUCACCUGUGAAAUCUCCUGGCUCAACUGGGAGCUUGCAGGCGAAACUGCCGUGCUGGAGUGUGGGAGAGGUGCGUGGAAUUCCCGGUGUAGCGGUGAAAUGCGCAGAUAUCGGGAGGAACACCAAUGGCGAAGGCAGCUCGCUGGGACGGUACUGACGCUGAGACGCGAAAGCGUGGGGAGCGAACAGG
Molecule: ribosomal RNA, 253 nt
Filed under: uncultured bacterium
Lineage: Bacteria
Description: partial 16S ribosomal RNA
Rfam family: Bacterial small subunit ribosomal RNA
Source: RNAcentral